RNAcentral lists this ribosomal RNA (820 nucleotides) under Thyronectria roseovirens. RNAcentral describes it as "LSU rRNA". It matches the Rfam family "Eukaryotic large subunit ribosomal RNA", at positions 60 to 914 of the family's 3401-position model. The record is from RNAcentral. Lineage: Eukaryota; Fungi; Ascomycota; Sordariomycetes; Hypocreales; Nectriaceae.
AGAACACAGGGAUGCCUUCGUAACGGCGAAGUGAAGCGGCAACAGCUCAAAUUUGAAAUCUGGCCCCCGCGGUCCGUAGUUGUAAUUUGUAGUAGGAGGCUUUUGGUGCGGUGCCUUCCGAGUUCCCUGGAACGGGACGCCAUAGAGGGUGAGAGCCCCGUCUGGUCGGACACCAAUCCUCUGUAAAGCUCCUUCGACGAGUCGAGUAGUUUGGGAAUGCUGCUCUAAAUGGGAGGUAUAUGUCUUCUAAAGCUAAAUAUAGGCCAGAGACCGAUAGCGCACAAGUAGAGUGAUCGAAAGAUGAAAAGCACUUUGAAAAGAGGGUUAAAUAGUACGUGAAAUUGUUGAAAGGGAAGCGUUUGUGACCAGACUUGGGCUUGGCUAAUCAUCCGGCGUUCUCGCCGGUGCACUUGGCCGGUCCAGGCCAGCAUCAGUUCGCCGUGGGGGAGAAAGGCUUCGGGAAUGUGGCUCCUCGGAGUGUUAUAGCCCGUUGCACAAUACCCUGUGGUGGACUGAGGUUCGCGCAUCUGCAAGGAUGCUGGCGUAAUGGUCAUCAACGACCCGUCUUGAAACACGGACCAAGGAGUCGUCUUCGUAUGCGAGUGUUCGGGUGUCAAACCCCUACGCGUAAUGAAAGUGAACGGAGGUGGGAGCCUCGGCGCACCAUCGACCGAUCCUGAUGUUUUCGGAUGGAUUUGAGUAAGAGCAUACGGGGCCGGACCCGAAAGAAGGUGAACUAUGCCUGUAUAGGGUGAAGCCAGAGGAAACUCUGGUGGAGGCUCGCAGCGGUUCUGACGUGCAAAUCGAUCGUCAAAUAUGG